This is a long non-coding RNA of Aegilops tauschii subsp. strangulata, 476 nucleotides long. RefSeq lists it as uncharacterized. Lineage: Eukaryota; Viridiplantae; Streptophyta; Magnoliopsida; Poales; Poaceae. The record is from RefSeq and is a predicted model, not a curated record.
GUUCGAUCUCUCCUAUGAGCAAUUGCUCGCCGGAGUUCGACAAUAGCAUCAAAGUCCGACGAGGAUUCUGUCGCGACCGAGAAGGAGCAUCAGAACCGCGAGGACCGAGGCUCACCGCCGCCGUGCCAAACUUCGGCCACUUCUGUCCAGUGAAGUAGAAAGCUCCUGAGAUCCUUACGGAGUCCAUAGAAUUCUCCUUCACCAUAUCUCCACCGUUCGCUACUCCAUCGACUCCGGUUCAUCGAAUACACUCCGCUCCGCCCAACUCCGGCGAACCCUCACGACUUUUCCGACGAAGAUUAAAGGUGCGAUAGGUCGUUGUUCUACACUCAGUUUGCGUUGGAGUUGGAUGGACUCAUUUACCUUUGAAGCUUCUCCGCAGUUAUUUUUAUUUAGAUGGCCUUUGGCCAUAUUAUUGUAAUAAAUACUCUUUUGAGAACCUCGAUGUAAUAAAGUGUGAUUGAACUCUGUUAUAA